UACGUAGGUGGCUAGCGUUAUCCGGAAUUACUGGGCGUAAAGGGUGCGUAGGUGGUUUCUUAAGUCAGAGGUGAAAGGCUACGGCUCAACCGUAGUAAGCCUUUGAAACUGGGGAACUUGAGUGCAGGAGAGGAGAGUGGAAUUCCUAGUGUAGCGGUGAAAUGCGUAGAUAUUAGGAGGAACACCAGUUGCGAAGGCGGCUCUCUGGACUGUAACUGACACUGAGGCACGAAAGCGUGGGGAGCAAACAGG
This 252-nucleotide ribosomal RNA is filed under the name uncultured bacterium. RNAcentral describes it as "partial 16S ribosomal RNA". It matches the Rfam family "Bacterial small subunit ribosomal RNA", at positions 524 to 776 of the family's 1533-position model. The record is from RNAcentral.